AAUUAAAUUUGUUAUUUACAUGUGAAUUUUAAUGUGAGAUUUUUAUUGAUUUAAAUAGUUGGUAUUUUUAUAUUAUUUGCAGUAGAUUAUUUUAAAUAUUAAUGAGAGUUAGAUUUAGGGAAAAUUUUAUGUAUUAACCAAUUUUGUGCCAGCAGUUGCGGUUACACAAAGAAUGCAAUUUAAUUUUUUUUAGCGUUAAUAUAUUGUAAAUUAUAAAAAUUGAAUGUGGAAGUUUUUAGGUGAAAUUUUAAUUUUUGCUUUAAUUUUUUGGUUUUUGGUUAUUUAAUAAAUUUUUUAAUAAACUAGGAUUAGAUACCCUAUUAUUUUUAAUGUAAAAUUUAGCUAGAUUAUUAAUAGUUAAAGUCUCGAAAAUUAAAAAAUUUGGCGGUUUUUUAGUCUAUUCAGAGGAACCUGUUCUAUAAUCGAUAGUCCACGAUUUUAUAUACUUUUUUUAUUAGUUUGUAUAUCGUCGUAGUUUGAAUGUUUUAAAAGAAUUUUAAUAUUCAAUAAUUAUUUUUUAAUUAAAUUCAGAUCAAGGUAUAGCUUAUAAGGAAGAAGAAAUGGGUUACAUUUAUUUUAAUUAGCGAUUGUUAAAUUGAAAAUUUAGAUGAAUUUGGAUUUGAAAGUAAUUUUAUUUAAAUUUUUAAAAUGAUUUUAGCUCUAAAAUAUGUACAUAUCGCCCGUCGCUUUCACCUUAAAGUGAAAUAAGUCGUAACAAAGUAGGUUUACUGGAAAGUGUACCUAGAAUGGU
Molecule: non-coding RNA, 751 nt
Filed under: Batocera horsfieldi
Lineage: Eukaryota; Metazoa; Arthropoda; Insecta; Coleoptera; Cerambycidae
Source: RNAcentral